GAUGAACGCUGACAGAAUGCUUAACACAUGCAAGUCAACUUGAACUUCGGUUUGGGUGGCGGACGGGUGAGUAACGCGUAAAGAACUUGCCUCACAGAUAGGGACAACAUUUGGAAACGAAUGCUAAUACCUGAUAUUAUGAUUAUAUGGCAUCGUAUAAUUAUGAAAGCUAUAUGCGCUGUGAGAGAGCUUUGCGUCCCAUUAGCUAGUUGGAGAGGUAACGGCUCACCAAGGCGAUGAUGGGUAGCCGGCCUGAGAGGGUGAUCGGCCACAAGGGGACUGAGACGCGGCCCUUACUCCUACGGGAGGCAGCAGUGGGGAAUAUUGGACAAUGGACCAAGAGUCUGAUCCAGCAAUUCUGUGUGCACGAUGAAGUUUUUCGGAAUGUAAAGUGCUUUCAGUUGGGAAGAAAAAAAUGACGGUACCAACAGAAGAAGUGACGGCUAAAUACGUG
Molecule: ribosomal RNA, 454 nt
Filed under: uncultured bacterium
Lineage: Bacteria
Description: partial 16S ribosomal RNA
Rfam family: Bacterial small subunit ribosomal RNA
Source: RNAcentral